Molecule: ribosomal RNA, 465 nt
Filed under: uncultured bacterium
Lineage: Bacteria
Description: partial 16S ribosomal RNA
Rfam family: Bacterial small subunit ribosomal RNA
Source: RNAcentral
GAUGAACGCUGGCGGCGUGCUUAACACAUGCAAGUCGAACGGCGAAAGAGAGCUUGCUCUCUGGUUCAGUGGCGAACGGGUGAGUAACACGUGAGCAAUCUGCCCCUGACUCUGGGAUAAGCGCUGGAAACGGCGUCUAAUACCGGAUACGAGCUGCGAAGGCAUCUUCAGCAGCUGGAAAGAACUUCGGUCAGGGAUGGGCGCGCGGCCUAUCAGCUAGUUGGUGAGGUAACGGCUCACCAAGGCGUCGACGGGUAGCCGGCCUGAGAGGGUGACCGGCCACACAGGGACUGGGGAGCGGCCCAGGGUCCUACGGGAGGCAGGGGUGGAGAAUAUUGCAAGAUGGGCGAAGGGCGGAUACAGCAACGCCGCGUGGGGGAGGACGGCCUUCGGGUUGUAAACCUCUUUGGGCAGGAAAGAGGCGAUAGUGAGGGUACCUGAAGAUAAAGAACCGGCUAACUACGU